AUGCCAUGAUGAGGGCAUUUUUGCAACAACUCCUUGAAUUUCUCUCAUACAUCAUAAGAGAUUCAUAACAAGCUGAAAUGUGGUGAUUUAAAUCCUAAUAUU
Molecule: non-coding RNA, 102 nt
Organism: Gossypium arboreum
Lineage: Eukaryota; Viridiplantae; Streptophyta; Magnoliopsida; Malvales; Malvaceae
Source: Rfam